UACGAAGGGGGCUAGCGUUGCUCGGAAUCACUGGGCGUAAAGGGUGCGUAGGCGGGUCUUUAAGUCAGGGGUGAAAUCCUGGAGCUCAACCCUCAGAACUGCCUUUGAUACUGAGGAUCUUGAGUUCGGGAGAGGUGAGUGGAACUGCGAGUGUAGAGGUGAAAUUCGUAGAUAUUCGCAAGAACACCAGUGGCGAAGGCGGCUCACUGGCCCGAUACUGACGCUGAGGCACGAAAGCGUGGGGAGCAAACAGG
RNAcentral lists this ribosomal RNA (254 nucleotides) under uncultured bacterium. RNAcentral describes it as "partial 16S ribosomal RNA". It matches the Rfam family "Bacterial small subunit ribosomal RNA", at positions 524 to 776 of the family's 1533-position model. The record is from RNAcentral.